Molecule: ribosomal RNA, 757 nt
Filed under: uncultured bacterium
Lineage: Bacteria
Description: bacterial SSU rRNA
Rfam family: Bacterial small subunit ribosomal RNA
Source: RNAcentral
AGAGUUUGAUCCUGGCUCAGAAUCAACGCUGGCGGCGUGCCUAACACAUGCAAGUCGAACGAGAAAGGGGCUUCGGCCCUGAGUAAAGUGGCGCACGGGUGAGUAACACGUGACUAACCUACCCUUGAGUGGGGGAUAGCCGAGGGAAACCUUGAUUAAUACCGCAUAAUACCUACGGGUCAAAGGAGCAAUUCGCUUAAGGAGGGGGUCGCGGCCGAUUAGUUAGUUGGCGGGGUAAUGGCCCACCAAGACAGUGAUCGGUAUCCGGCCUGAGAGGGCGCACGGACACACUGGAACUGAAACACGGUCCAGACUCCUACGGGAGGCAGCAGUGGGGAAUUUUGCGCAAUGGGGGAAACCCUGACGCAGCAACGCCGCGUGGAGGAUGAAGUCUCUUGGGACGUAAACUCCUUUCGAUCGGGACGAUAAUGACGGUACCGAGAGAAGAAGCCCCGGCUAACUUCGUGCCAGCAGCCGCGGUAAUACGAGGGGGGCGAGCGUUGUUCGGAAUUAUUGGGCGUAAAGGGUGCGUAGGCGGUUCGGCAAGUCUUGUGUGAAAUCUUCGGGCUCAACUCGAAGUCUGCACUAGAAACUGCCGGGCUUGAGUGUGGGAGAGGUGAGUGGAAUUUCCGGUGUAGCGGUGAAAUGCGUAGAUAUCGGAAGGAACACCUGUGGCGAAAGCGGCUCACUGGACCACAACUGACGCUGAGGCACGAAAGCUAGGGGAGCGAAACAGGAUUAGAUACCCUAGUAGUCC